AAUGUUUUGGUCCUACGCCUUUCACAGAUGACAUAAAUUUCUACAAAUACAUUUAAACAACUUAACACAGUGAUUGCUAUCAGGAUGUGAGGAGACUUUUAACCAGCAUAACUUAAAAUGUUUCAGGAUCAAAUCUUACCCUACCUUUAAGCUAACAGAGUAACGCAUUAUACCCCCAGCUCAUGUCUCUCAGUUUAUCAGUAGUCUUCCUAUACUUUAUGGGCUAGUAGUGAUGCCAUAAGAUAACAUAGAUUGUGCGAUAUUGCUUUAUCAUAAUGACAAGUGCUCAUUGUGGGAGAAGGGGGCCAAAUACAUCUCUAUUUAUGAAGCUAAAUGAGGUGAACAGUACAGAAAUUGAGGUAAACAGAUCUGGAUCAAAAGUUACAAAAUCUACUAAUCCAGCAUCAAGUUGUUAUUGCUGCUAUUGAAGUACAGGGGCAAUGAUUGGUUGCUAACAACAUAGCUAAUGUAAUGCCUGUGAGUUGGCAUAUGCUCUCCAGUUCACACAGUUUAUAGAGUGCCGCAUGGGUGAUGUAGCUUGUAGACUAACCGGUAGUUAGCAGGACACUGAUUCCCUAACCAAAAAGCCCAUUCAUUUUUCCCAUAGACUUUUGGAUUAUAGCAAUUAACAAACUCUCUGAUUAACAAAAGUUUAUGACACUUACGUUUUGUUCAAUAAAAUAAUCUUCACACAUGAACACAACUUUUAUGCAUUUUGAAGUCUAAAUUUGUUUACUAGAAAUGAAAAGCUAAUCUUGAACUACACCACAGUCUCUCUACAUCAACGUCAUCAGUAUUAAGGAAAUACUCUGUGGAUGAAUUUUUAUUGGGAAUUAUGCCCAUGUUGUAUUGUUUUUGAAAUCUUCAUGCGUGAUGGCAUUCAAUGUCUGUAGUGUCCAUAGCAACUUGUUAGCAACCACCCUUUUAAAGACACUUAAAAGCUUUAAAUAGUCUUUGUGGGGGUAUUACUGUUGUGUUUUAUGUUAUAGAAUGAAACGUGAACAAAUCUCCUAUGUUAACACAAAACCCCAUUCACAAAACUUAUUGACUUUGGGACGAUGGAUCCGGAAGUGCUAAAAUGCUAACUCGUUUCUGGGUUUUACCUACAAAAAUAUGCAUGUGGCACUCUAGACCAUUACCUCUCAGAGCAGUUACCUGGGCCAUGAUGGGCAUCUGCUCUAACUGUAGCAGCACACUUCUUUAUUGACUUCUUUUAUUAUUAUUCACAAUGUUGAGUGACAACAGAGGCCAAAUCAUUAUGGUAACUCAAAUCCUGGAAAUGAUGAACAAUAUAUCAUAAUGACUAGUCUAAUGUAUGGAUGUAUGCAUGUACGUACAGUGAAUAUACAAACAUAAAUGUACACAAAACUUUUACCUUUGUUUUAUUGGUAUAUUUAGCAUUAUUGUAUGUAGUUUUAGAUCAUAUUGGGAGGAUCUGAACUAGUGGCUAAGCCAGAAGGGUUUCCCAGUAUGGAAAAACUGCACCAUUGUGCACUGUAUUAUACUUUUACCAUUAUUUAAAUUGUGUUAGGCUAUAAUAUAUAUUUUUUACUUUAAUUGACAAUUAAUUGAUGUAGUUUGCAAAUAUAGUCUUCUGCCAUUCUCCUCUACCAGCUAAACUGCUACAUAGGUGAUCGCAUUUACAUUUAUUCAUUUAGUUUUGUCCGAUUUAAAUUAGAAAUGAUGAAUACAAGCAAAUCGGCUUAUGAGGAGGCAGUAGCAGCAAUACAUGGUUUGAAUCAUUGUCUAGAACUUUAAAAGCAAGGAGAGGAGUAGAUGUGAAAGAUAUUUUGCUUUUAUUUUAGAAAUAGUUAGGAGGAUGCAGUUAAAGAGUUUCAGAAUGAAUGUAGACCGUGUCUAAGAACUGAAAUGAAAUUCUUAUUGACGUUCUAAGAAUCCACUUUGAACUUCUAAGAAUCAAACAUUUUGAUAACAUUCGUGAAAGUCAUUUUAAUGUUAGCUACAACUUAAACUGCUUUUGGUGUUGUGUUGAAAUAGUUUAAAACAAGCAGGUUCAUGAAUCUAUGACACCACAGUUUUGAAAUGGUUUAGUCACUAUAGUUUAUAUGCAAGAAACCAUAUGAAAAUAAGGAAUCUGGCAGGCCUCAAGUAGAGGCCUUCUAUAGUUUGGUCUCAGUCAAGGCAAGCCAAUUGUUUCAAACUUAUUUUAUUUCCUCUCAGAGGGUAAAAUAAUAUAGGUUUUGUUGAUUACAAGGCAUUGUAAUCGUUACUUUUUACUUUUUUUGUGAAUUGUUUAAUAGUUCUAAAUUGGAUCUAAAUUCAUUCAUGUUUUUUAAUAUAAAUUGAAAUAUAAAUAUCUUUUUACAUCCACAUUAUGGUGAGUUUUUAUAAAUGGAAAAAAUAUUAUUGCUAAUAAAUAUAUUACUAAGCACAAAGCCUCAGUAAUUACUGACGUUACAUAGAACGUAACAUUUUACGUCCCCACCGUGACUAUCCCCUCCCCCACCCCGCUGGAUUCACACCUGCGACACGGGCUGCGAGAUACUUCAGACACAGCGCGCUGCAGAGGAGAGAAGAUGUCUAAGGAUAAUGAAGAUGAAACUAGUUACAAGUCAUCUACGUAUGGCAGCUCUGGAUGUACAGUGGAUGAUCUGACAGAUGGUCCUGAAAAGACAACUACGAUAGAUGGUCCUGAAAAGAAGACAAAGGCUCAAAGCCAUCACCUGAGUCGCCUCCAAAAACUUAGAGCGCAUCAGAAUGUUUGUGAAGAUCGAUACUUGAAGGCGCAAACAAAAAUUUUAAAAGAUGAACGUGAAAAAACUUUAUUUUUACAUCAGCGCAUGACAACAAAGUUCAACACACGCACAACAGAAGAAUCCCCUUCAAAUUCAGAGUUGAGUGAGGAUGAAUAUAUACCAGAGACAGAGGAAGAAUCGGACUCUGAAUCAGAGGGUUUAGCAGAACAUAAGAUCAAACUGCAUAAGAGAAGAAAGGUUAAGUCAAAAACAACAAGAGCUCAAUCUUGUAAAAAAAGGCGUGUGACAUGUUCUAGUUCCUUGUCUACCAGUGGCACCAAAGAAUCCUCUUCAUCUGAUGAACAUGAAGGGAGAGAAUGCUCUUCACCUGAAAAAAAUGACACCCAACAAUCCUCUUCAUCUGAUGAACAUGAAGGCAGAGAAUCCUCUUCACCUGAAAAAAAUGACACCCAACAAUCCUCUUCAUCGAAUGAUCAUGCAAGCAGAGAAUCCUCUUCGCCUGAUAAUUCUGAUGUGACUGUCAUGAUGCUAAAGAAAAAAACUGAUGACCGCAGACUAUACAACAAAAAGUCCUACUGCUUUUUUUGUGCUAAACCAUUCAGUAAAAUGGCACGUCAUUUGGAAUCGCAGCACAAAGAUAAGCCAGAGGUGGCAAGAGCUGUUGCAUUUCCGAAAGGAUCUAAAGAGCGAAGAUUACAGCUGAUUUUAUUGAGAAAUAAAGGAAACCGUUGUCAUAAUACUGAGGUGAUUAAAGAAGGAAAAGGAAUGGUGAUACCCCGACAGCAAUCCAAGGCACCAGUAAGAGCAAGUGAUUACUUGCACUGCGUAAACUGUGCGGCGUACCUGAAGAGAAGAUCAUUAUGGAGGCACAUGCAGAGAUGCCAUCUAAACCAGAAAGUCAAAGGAAUGAAGCCAGGAAAAACUCGAGUUCAGUCCCUUUGCAUGUAUACUGAACCAGUUCCAGAGAGUGUGAAUGCACGUUUUUGGAAAAUGGUGCUUGAAAUGCAUGAGGAUGAGAUAACAAAUGUUGUCCGCAAAGAGAAGGUCAUCUUAAAAUUAGGGCAACAUCUCUUCAAUAAGCAUGGCCAUGAUGUCACAAAACAUGAAUAUAUCAGACAAAAGAUGCGUGAGACAGGGCGCCUAGUCCUCCAAGGAAAAAAGAACGGCAAGUUGAAGGAGGUUUCAGAUUUCUUCAUCCCUGCCAAUUUCCCUGAUGUAAUUGAAGCAGUUCACAGUGUGGCUGGCUUGAAUGAGGAGACGAGCACAUUCAAAGCACCAUCUUUAGCGCUGAAGUUGGGACACAACCUCAAGAAGAUGGCCAACAUUAUUGAAUGUGAGGCAAUGAUGUCAGAUGAUAAAAAUGCCCUUAGCAACGUGCAGGCCUUUAAAAAAAUCUGCGACACUAAAUGGAGUGAGUGUGUGUCAUCUCAGGCACUCCGAAAUUUGAGCGAGGCAAAAUGGAACUGUCCACAACUUCUUCCCUUUGCUGACGAUGUGAAAAAAAUGCACCAGUACCUUGACAGACAGAGUAAGGAAUACCAAGCAAAACUUGAAAAAGAACCAAGUAACAAGCACUGGGCAGAACUUGCAAAAGUGACACUCUGUCAGGUGAUACUUUUCAAUCGUAGAAGGGAAGGAGAGGUAUCCAAGAUGGCCCUUAAUGCUUUUAUAUUGAGGGAUACCUCAUCGACUCAUCCAGAUGUAGAGCUUGCUCUGUCAGACCUUGAGAAAAGACUUUGUAAGCACUUCCAGAGAAUCGAGAUAAGAGGCAAACGUGGACGAAAGGUCCCCAUUCUACUUACACCUGAAAUGAUGAAAUCAUUGGAGUUACUGGUGAACCAUCGCCGCGAGUGUGAUGUGCUUGAUGAGAAUGUAUUUGUGUUUGCGAGACCACAAGCCCUCAGCCACUUCAGAGGUUCAGAUGCUAUCCGUCAAAUAGCUCGAAGCUGUGGGGCUAAACAUCCAGAGGCAUUGUCCUCUACUAAACUGAGAAAGCACAUGGCCACGAUGUCCAAGGUCCUCAACUUGAAGGAUAAUGAAAUGGAUGACCUUGCUGACUUUUUAGGACAUGACAUCAGGGUGCAUCGGCAGUUCUACAGGCUACCUGAAGGUACCUUACAGCUGGCAAAAAUCAGCAAAGUUCUAAUGGCCAUGGAACGAGGUCAGAUAGUAGACUUCAAAGGAAAAAAUCUCGAUGAGAUCCAGAUUGAUCCAAAAGAGCGGGUACUGAUGGACAGUGAUGUAUCAGACUCUGAAAAUGAGAAAGAGAUGACUGGAAAUUAUCCUUCAAGUUCAGCAGGCAAAAACAAUAAACAACUGCAUCAGAUUGGCGAGGACUUAGAGGAACCACAUGCAACAAGCAAGAACGAUAAAAAACUGCAUCCGAUUGGCAAGGACUUGGAGAAACCACACCCAGCAAAGAAAUCUUCAAAAAACGCACGGAGAAAGUGGUCCACAGAAGAGAUCCAGGCUGUGGAAGAAACCCUGAUGGACUACAUCAGGUCUGGAAAAGUUCCUGGAAAAGCCCAGUGCAUGGAGUGCAUUGAAAGGUCCCCAGCAGCACUUCAAGGGAGAAGUUGGGAAGGGGUGAAAUUUUAUGUUAAAAAUCGCAUUGAUUCCAUGAAGCGUAAAAUGUAAAACGAUAGAGCCUUUAUCAAGAUGUUUUUCCCAUGUUUGUGGAUAGGAUCGCAUUGGUUUGUUGAAAACUUAAACUAAAAGUUAAAGGGCCUUUAUAGGGCUGGGUUAUAAUUUUAUGUUAAAAAUCACAUUGAUUCCAUGAAGCGUAAAAUGUAAAACGCUAGAGUCUUUAUCAAGAUGUUUUUCCCAUGUUUGUGGAUAGGAUCGCAUUAGUUUGUUAAAAACUUAAAAUAAAAGGUAAAGGGCCUUUAUAGGGCUGGGUGAUAUAUCACAUGUGAUUAUUUAUGCACAUCUCAUCAGUAAAGCAGUUUCCAUUAUUAGUAGUAAAUCGCUAUCACCUGCUUUCCAAAGAUCCUCUUUCAGAUGAAGCAGCAUUUACUACACAGAGACGUAGUUUCCUGACAAGCUAUGCAAUAUCACAUUAAUUAUUGUAGGUGAUACAUCCGUGAUAAUGAAUGUGAUAUUGCAUAGCUUGUUGGUAAACUACGUCUCUGUGUAGUAAAUGCUGCUUCAUCUGAAAGCUUUACUGAUGAGAUAUGCAUGAUAAUCACAUGUGAUAUGUCACCAAGCCCUAGGCCUUUAUCAAGAUGUAUUUUUCCCAUGUUUGUUGUUGGGAUGUUAAAUCAGUUAAAUAAAGAAUACUGACUAAUCAAGAGAUCUAUUUUUGUGUACUGUUACAAGCUUUUUAUAGAGAUGUAUUGCAAUAGAUCGUGCAACCCUGUUGAAUGCCAGGGAUGCAGUGUUUUAUUUUAGGAGUGGUCUCCAGUAUGGACAGAUCAUUUUUAUUUAGCAAAGGCCGUGAUACCCAUGGUGUAAUUUCCCCAUUGACAUUUCCUGUUUGUCAUACAACAUGUCUGUCUUAGUUAUCAAAGUUUGGACCUUUUCAGAUUGUCAAAAUUGAAGAAAAUUAGAUGUUAAACAGGAGUGAGGUAAGGCUUUACAUCCCUAGAAAUGGUCUUAAAAUGCAAAAGUUGAUGGUAAAUAGUGAAAUGUAAGAUAAAAGAAAAAAUUUAUUACAAUUUAAAUAGACAUAAUUCUUCCUUUAAAACAACUCUUUAAUGAUUGUCUAAACUAAAUCUUUAUUGUUGAUCAUAUACAGGUUUAUAAUUGUAUAAAAGUUAAAUUUCUAAUAGUGACAACUGGUGGUGGUUUGUGGUAAGGCACAAUAGCGAUGUCCCCACCAGAAUAGAAAAACCUGACAGAAAUUAAGCUUGCUAAACUUAAGAAUUUUUAAUAAUAAAUAUGUUUUUUGUUAAUAAAAAAUUCCCCCUGACACAUCUGACUUAAAAUUAUGGCUUUAUUGUAUUUAGAAAUUGCUGUCCCCACGUGUAACCUCCUAGUCAAGAGUCCCCACCAUGUAGCAUAAACAAGUAUGUGUGUGUGUGUGUGUGUGUGUGUUUGUGUGUAAUAUUGUGUGUGCAGGAAGAUUUGUCUGAGCCGAUACUGGAGGAGGAUUUUGAUGAAGGUUCAGGCGUUGUUUUCCCUUUUUAUGAUCCCGACACACAGCUGCUGUUUCUGGCUGGGAAGGGUGACGGCAACAUUCGUUAUUAUGAGGUCAGUGCAAUCAAAC
Non-coding RNA from Paramisgurnus dabryanus, 6924 nucleotides. NCBI's taxonomy places the organism in Eukaryota, Metazoa, Chordata, Actinopteri, Cypriniformes, Cobitidae. The record is from RefSeq and is a predicted model, not a curated record.